Molecule: ribosomal RNA, 63 nt
Filed under: Acinetobacter bereziniae
Lineage: Bacteria; Pseudomonadati; Pseudomonadota; Gammaproteobacteria; Moraxellales; Moraxellaceae
Description: partial 16S ribosomal RNA
Source: RNAcentral
UGUCGUAACAAGGUAGCCGUAGGGGAACCUGCGGCUGGAUCACCUCCUUAACGAAAGAUUGAC